UACGUAGGGUGCGAGCGUUAAUCGGAAUUACUGGGCGUAAAGCGUGCGCAGGCGGCUUUGCAAGACAGAUGUGAAAUCCCCGGGCUCAACCUGGGAACUGCAUUUGUGACUGCAAGGCUAGAGUACGGCAGAGGGGGAUGGAAUUCCGCGUGUAGCAGUGAAAUGCGUAGAUAUGCGGAGGAACACCAAUGGCGAAGGCAAUCCCCUGGGCCUGUACUGACGCUCAUGCACGAAAGCGUGGCGAGCAAACAGG
Molecule: ribosomal RNA, 253 nt
Filed under: uncultured bacterium
Lineage: Bacteria
Description: partial 16S ribosomal RNA
Rfam family: Bacterial small subunit ribosomal RNA
Source: RNAcentral